GUUUCAAGGGUUUGCAUCUAUUCCUAGAUUACAAAGGCAAGAAUUUCUUAUAUCAAAGCGUUUAUAAAUUCAACUUCAGUUUCACAAUAUAAACCGUAAAUCAAUUUAAAUGUGAUCAAUCAAUAAAAGCAUUAAGCAUGGAGAUAAGAAAAACAAUUCAAUGAGUUUCUUCAAUAAUCAUAAUCCAAUCACAUGACAAAUGUAUUCAUCUAGGUCUACUCAUCCCCAACAACGGAGGGUUUAGUUAUUCAUAGCAAAUAAACAAGAGAAAGAGAUUAAAGAAGAAUUACAAGAACAAUGCAUGAACGAUUCUUGAUAAAUCUCCUUCAAUGGUGUUGAAAGCCGCCUCCUUUGUGUUUUGUCUGCUAGGUCACAGGUUUCUCCACUCAAAAUUAAUUCAAAAGCCCCGUUCCAAUUUGAUAAAAACGUAUUUAUAGCAUAACAGGCCCAACACGGGGCGCUUUGACCUGACUAGGGCGCCUAGCGCCGGUGCACAGCUUGAGAAACACGAACAAUCGCAGCGCUGCGCUGCUGCAUGGGCGCCUAGCGCCAACUUCCAGGGAGCUGGCGAUUCUGAAGUAAUCUGCUAGCGCCGGUGCACAGUUGAUAAACACGAACAAUCGCAGCGCUGCGCUGCUGCAGCCCACUUCCAGAGAGCUGGCGCCUCUGAAGUGGUCUGAUAGCGCCUAGCGCCCUUCUUUUGGUGUCUGGCGCCUCUGAAGCAUGGUUCUGGCGCCUAGCGCCUGCUGGCCUAGCAAGAAUCCAUCAGCAAACUUCAACAAAAGAUGUAUCCGUCCACUUGGAAGCUUUCUAGUGACCUACCUUUUAUCCAUCUCCAUUCCUACAUAACCAAACAUACUCGAAGCAAGUCAAAUGUUCAAAAAACAUGCAAUAAAUUGCAGAGGAGAUCAGCAUAGUAAAACAAUUAAAAACACAAAAUAAGGAGAAAUAUGUUAUGCAAUCACUCAAAAGAAACUUGAUAUAGAGGUAAAAUUGAAGGUAAUAACCUACAUUUUUGUCGGUUAUCAUUAGGACUUGGAAUGGAGGGAGUUUUCUAGGAUUGGAGCUAAGAAGUUAAUUAGGAUUUAGUUUAGCUGUUAAGUUUGUUAGCAUUUCUGUUUUAAUUUCUUAGCCUUUCUGUUUAUAGUUCAGUUAGUCAUAUGGAUUAUCAAUAGGAUCGACUGGUCUGAGGGGAGGAAAUCAUUUUAUGAAAUUAUAAACUAGAGAAUGCUUUAGUGAGGGAAGAGUGCUCCCUUGGCAUAACCUUGAGUGAUAAUACUAGAAAGAUAUUCAAGGAGUUAUUCAUUUGAUUUAUCAAUUCUAUCCAAUUUUAAGGAAUUCAUUUGAAAUCCAAUUCUUGAGUUCCUAACAAGUUGAAACAUGCAUGUUUCUGCAUUGGUCUUGUUUUAUCAUACAUGAUUAUGAAUUUAGUUUGUUAGAUUAGUCUUAGUUAUAGCUUAUUCUCUCUUUUAGAAUAUUAUCUCUUUCAUUUAUGAACAACCAAAAGGUUUUCCAUAACAUUAUGUUUAAAGCAACAUUGUUAAAUAGAGGAGUUAUAGUGCUAUUGCUUAGUGGAAUUUGAACAAACUGCUAUUUUCCGCAAUCCACAAUGUCAAUUGACAACACUUUCAAAGAAAGUUAGCAGCUGAUUUGCAACAUGUCUGUAGAUGUAGGAGUGUUUUGUGUUUUGUUUUGACAGAUACUUGGACAUGUUUGCGACUUCACAAAUAUACUUUUUCGACCAUUUCAUAUUCUAGUCUUCUACUUUCCAUAUAUCUUAUGUUUAGUUGUAACUUGUUUGAUUGCUCUACAUUUUGAGCAGGUCUUAGAUGAGGCAGACAGGUUAUUGAAUGAAGACUUUGAGAAAGAAUUUAAUGAGGAUUCAUUCCUAGUAAGCGGAAAACAUUUCUUUUUUCAGCUACAGGGACAGACAAGGUAUAUAUGUAGGUUUGUUAAUAAAAGUGAACUUCAUAUAUUAUUUAUUGUUAGCCAUUUUUUUCCCCUUAGCAGUAGCCAGAUAUUAUAUCUUACUGUUCAAUUGAAAAUUUUUUCCUUACAAAUUAUUCCAAAUAUCUUAUAUUGUGUUAUAAUAAUACAUUUUCUAUGCAUUGCUUAUAGAGAAAAUUGCACUCUUGUUAUUUCAGGUUCGCAAGAUUGGAAAGUUGUGUUUAAGGGAUCCUGUGAAGGUACGACUGUUAUAUUUACAAAUAUAUCAUAUUCGAUAGUAAAAUUACACUAUCUCCCCCGAAAGAUUAUUAUUUGUUACACUUUAGCUGGUUUUAAUGCCUUCGUAGGAACAACUUUUGUUAGUAUGACUCUUUCUUUAAUACUUCCUCUAUCCUAUUUUAUUUCUUUCAAAACGACAUAUAAGUACUUAAAAAUCCAACGACAAUAUAUUUUGUCCUUAAGUAAAUGUUAAUGAUCUCACUUUUCUUUAUGAUUGAAAUAAUGACUUAAUUGAUAUAAGGGCAAAUUAUAACAACCUCCCUCAAGUUAUGGCUAAAUGCAACAAACCUCCCCUUUAUUUUCAAAACCAUCAUAUACCUCUCUCUGUUACAUUCUGUUAACUCUCUGUCUACAAUAUAUUAGUGUAAUUAAUUUUAUUUUAUUUUGGGCUAAACGCUAUGGCUAAACACUUUUUAGAAUUGAUUUAGCCUACAAUAUAGCUCACAUUAGUGUAAUUAAUUUUAUUUUGGGCCAUUAGAGUAAAACAAUAUUAAUGGUGUAGAUUUGGAGUAACUCUUUUAAAUUACUCUUGGAGUCAAUAUAUAUAUAUAUAUAUAUAUAUAUAUAUAUAUAUAUAUAUAUAUAUAUAUAUCACAUUAAUCAGAGACUAACAUACACAAUUUCAUGUUAAUAAUUGAAUAAAAUAAAGAGUGGUGAUGCGGUGACCACUAUAAGUGGCACACAUUUUUUCUACCACCACACGUAAAUGUAAAACGUGAUAAGGUGACCCUCACCACCCCACCUAACACUCUUUCACUUGCUGCGUAUAAUGGGGUAAGAGGAAAAAGUUGUCAACAUUUAUCAUUAUUGUAAAAUAAAUAACUAACCUGUUUUUGUGCUUUGUUAGUUUUGCAUCGCCCCUUUCAACCCAAUCAGGAACUAAGAUCCUCCAACACCUCCCAGUCACUAAAGGAUUGGUAAAUAGGAAGCGCAUAUAUUUGAGGUAGAGGGAAGAGGGCGACCGUCUUGGAUCUGAAAAAUAAGUUUUAAAUUUGAAUCCUAAAAUAAAAAAAUAAAAAAUAAUAGGGGUCUAUUAAAAAUGUUGAAAUUAUUGGAUGAUGAAUUAAAAAAACCUUGCACAAAUUUAGGACUGCAUUUUCUCACAAAGAUUUGUCAAAUGUUGAUGCAAAUGAUUUUAUUUUAUUUUUUAAAUUGAA
Molecule: long non-coding RNA, 3383 nt
Filed under: Medicago truncatula (barrel medic)
Lineage: Eukaryota; Viridiplantae; Streptophyta; Magnoliopsida; Fabales; Fabaceae
Description: long non-coding RNA (MTRU_LNC008191)
Source: RNAcentral